GUCUCCGUAGCUCAGCUGGAUAGAGCAAGGCACUUCUAAUGCCUAGGCCAGAGGUUCGAAUCCUCUCGGGGACACCA
Molecule: transfer RNA, 77 nt
Filed under: bacterium
Lineage: Bacteria
Description: tRNA-Arg
Rfam family: tRNA
About the family: Transfer RNA (tRNA) molecules are approximately 80 nucleotides in length. Their secondary structure includes four short double-helical elements and three loops (D, anti-codon, and T loops). Further hydrogen bonds mediate the characteristic L-shaped molecular structure. tRNAs have two regions of fundamental functional importance: the anti-codon, which is responsible for specific mRNA codon recognition, and the 3' end, to which the tRNAs corresponding amino acid is attached (by aminoacyl-tRNA synthetases). tRNAs cope with the degeneracy of the genetic code in two manners: having more than one tRNA (with a specific anti-codon) for a particular amino acid; and 'wobble' base-pairing, i.e. permitting non-standard base-pairing at the 3rd anti-codon position.
Source: RNAcentral